Molecule: non-coding RNA, 92 nt
Filed under: unclassified sequences
Description: c-di-GMP sequence
Rfam family: c-di-GMP-II-GAG riboswitch aptamer
Source: Rfam by way of RNAcentral
GCACAAGGUAGAGGCCAAGAACCCCGCCCCUACGGAAGACGGGCACCCUUCGGGGGCGUGGGGAGCCAGUGGUGCGACCGGCUACCUUCUAU